AGUGAACGCUGGCGGUAGGCCUAACACAUGCAAGUCGAACGGCAGCACAGUAAGAGCUUGCUCUUACGGGUGGCGAGUGGCGGACGGGUGAGGAAUACAUCGGAAUCUACUUUUUCGUGGGGGAUAACGUAGGGAAACUUACGCUAAUACCGCAUACGACCUACGGGUGAAAGCAGGGGAUCUUCGGACCUUGCGCGAUUGAAUGAGCCGAUGUCGGAUUAGCUAGUUGGCGGGGUAAAGGCCCACCAAGGCGACGAUCCGUAGCUGGUCUGAGAGGAUGAUCAGCCAAACUGGAACUGAGACACGGUCCAGACUCCUACGGGAGGCAGCAGUGGGGAAUAUUGGACAAUGGGCGCAAGCCUGAUCCAGCCACACCGCGUGGGUGAAGAAGGCCUUCGGGUUGUAAAGCCCUUUUGUUGGGAAAGAAAAGCAGCAGGUUAAUACCCCGCUGUUCUGACGGUACCCAAAGAAUAAGCACCGGCUAACUUCGUG
This 492-nucleotide ribosomal RNA is filed under the name uncultured bacterium. RNAcentral describes it as "partial 16S ribosomal RNA". It matches the Rfam family "Bacterial small subunit ribosomal RNA", at positions 29 to 507 of the family's 1533-position model. The record is from RNAcentral.